This 253-nucleotide ribosomal RNA is filed under the name uncultured bacterium. RNAcentral's name for it is "partial 16S ribosomal RNA". It matches the Rfam family "Bacterial small subunit ribosomal RNA", at positions 524 to 776 of the family's 1533-position model. The record is from RNAcentral.
UACGUAGGGGGCAAGCGUUGUUCGGAAUUACUGGGCGUAAAGGGCGCGUAGGCGGCCUUCUAAGUCGAACGUGAAAUCCCUGGGCUCAACCCAGGAACUGCGUCCGAUACUGGGAGGCUUGAAUCCGGGAGAGGGAUGCGGAAUUCCAGGUGUAGCGGUGAAAUGCGCAGAUAUCAGGAGGAACACCGGUGGCGAAGGCGGGUCUCUGGGCCGUAACUGACGCUGAGGAGCGAAAGCAUGGGGAGCGAACAGG